This is a long non-coding RNA of Melozone crissalis (California towhee), 546 nucleotides long. RefSeq lists it as uncharacterized. The record is from RefSeq and is a predicted model, not a curated record. NCBI's taxonomy places the organism in Eukaryota, Metazoa, Chordata, Aves, Passeriformes, Passerellidae. The transcript is spliced from 3 exons.
CCUAUAUUUCAGAAUUCUUCAAUUUCUCCAGCACAGAAAUUUUAUUGAGCUCUUCUUGAUUUUACACCCGUCUGAAUUUCUCCAAUGAGUUCACAAGCUAUGAAAGGAGAAGCGGGACAAAAAGAAAAAGAUUUAUUUCAAUGCCCUCUGAUUUCUGUGCAGUUUCUUUUCCUUGUGAAUACAGUCAUCAGAAAAAAAUUCUGCCUGAAUUCAUGAUACCCAUUGCUGCUGACUGCAGCAAAAGCAGCUCUUCCGUGACUGCCAGCCAGAAAAAGUACAGGAUGAGCUUCCUGCUCGUACCUACACGUGAUCUGGAGAGAUGAUUUUUCUUCAUAACAGUAAAGCACCUAAGUCCAAGGUGUUUUACCAGUGCUGUUCCACUGAGUUUUGGAGGAUUUUACUGGCACAAGUGGCAGUGGAAUGCUGUCCCUAAUUAAAAGAGAUAUGUAAGUAUUCUCAUGGAAAGGCAAGCAGAUGAAAAGCUGCUGUCAAAUAAGGUGUGUUGUCGAAAGUCUGAGCUGUGGCAAUAAAAUUUGUUCUUCCAAA